This 253-nucleotide ribosomal RNA is filed under the name uncultured bacterium. RNAcentral's name for it is "partial 16S ribosomal RNA". It matches the Rfam family "Bacterial small subunit ribosomal RNA", at positions 524 to 776 of the family's 1533-position model. The record is from RNAcentral.
UACGUAGGGCGCAAGCGUUGUCCAGAAUUAUUGGGCGUAAAGAGCUCGUAGGCGGUUUGUCGCGUCUGCUGUGAAAUCCCGAGGCUCAACCUCGGGCUUGCAGUGGGUACGGGCAGACUAGAGUGCGGUAGGGGAGACUGGAAUUCCUGGUGUAGCGGUGGAAUGCGCAGAUAUCAGGAGGAACACCGAUGGCGAAGGCAGGUCUCUGGGCCGCAACUGACGCUGAGGAGCGAAAGCAUGGGGAGCGAACAGG